CCAGACUUGACAUACAGGAGACGAUAUCAGAGAUGAUAUUUUCCGCAAGGACUGCUGUACAGGUGCUGCAUGGCUGUCGUCAGCUCGUGCCGUGAGGUGUUGGGUUAAGUCCCGCAACGAGCGCAACCCUUAUCAUUAGUUGCCAACGAGUAAUGUCGGGGACUCUAGUGAGACUGCCUGGGUUAACCAGGAGGAAGGUGAGGAUGACGUCAAGUCAGCAUGGCCUUUAUGUCUGGGGCUACACACGUGCUACAAUGGUCGGUACAGAAGGCAGCGAAGUCGUGAGAUGGAGCAAAUCCCCAAAGCCGACCUCAGUUCAGAUUGUAGUCUGCAACUCGACUACAUGAAGUUGGAAUUGCUAGUAAUGGCGUGUCAGCUACAACGCCGUGAAUACGUUCCC
Molecule: ribosomal RNA, 400 nt
Filed under: uncultured bacterium
Lineage: Bacteria
Description: bacterial SSU rRNA
Rfam family: Bacterial small subunit ribosomal RNA
Source: RNAcentral